CAGUUGAGCGGAGAUAUAUGGAGCUUGCUUUAUAUAACUUAGCAGCGAACGGGUGAGUAACACGUAGAUAAUCUAUCCUAUACUGGGGGAUAGCCCGAUGAAAGUUGGAUUAAUACCGCAUAUAGCUAUAUAGUUGCAUGAUUAUGUAGUGAAAGAUUUAUUGGUAUAGGAGGAGUCUGCGGCACAUUAGCUAGUAGGUGAGGUAAAGGCUUACCUAGGCGACGAUGUGUAGCCGGUCUGAGAGGAUGAACGGCCACAAUGGAACUGAGACACGGUCCAUACUCCUACGGGAGGCAGCAGUGGGGAAUAUUGCACAAUGGGGGAAACCCUGAUGCAGCAACGCCGCGUGAGUGAAGAAGGUUUUCGGAUUGUAAAGCUCUGUUAGCAGGGAAGAGGAAGGACGGUACCUGCAGAGGAAGCCACGGCUAACUACGUGCCAGCAGCCGCGGUAAUACGUAGGUGGCAAGCGUUGUUCGGAAUAACUGGGCGUAAAGGAUGCGUAGGCGGUUAAACAAGUUAUAUGUUAAAUAUAUAGGCUUAACCUGUAGAAAGCAUAUAAAACUGUUUAACUAGAGUGCAGGAGAGGUAAGUGGAAUUCCUAGUGUAGCGGUGAAAUGCGUAGAGAUUAGGAAGAACACCAGUGGCGAAGGCGACUUACUGGACUGUAACUGACGCUGAGGCAUGAGAGCAUGGGGAGCAAACAGGAUUAGAUACCCUGGUAGUCCAUGCUGUAAACGAUGGGUACUAGGUGUGGGUUGUGAAUAACAAUUCGUGCCGUCGCAAACGCAAUAAGUACCCCGCCUGA
Molecule: ribosomal RNA, 805 nt
Filed under: uncultured bacterium
Lineage: Bacteria
Description: bacterial SSU rRNA
Rfam family: Bacterial small subunit ribosomal RNA
Source: RNAcentral